RNAcentral lists this ribosomal RNA (253 nucleotides) under uncultured bacterium. RNAcentral's name for it is "partial 16S ribosomal RNA". It matches the Rfam family "Bacterial small subunit ribosomal RNA", at positions 524 to 776 of the family's 1533-position model. The record is from RNAcentral.
UACGUAGGGGGCAAGCGUUGUCCGGAAUCAUUGGGCGUAAAGCGCGUGUAGGCGGCCCGGUAAGUCCGCUGUGAAAGUCCAGGGCUCAACCCUGGAAUGCCGGUGGAUACUGUCGGGCUCGAGUCCGGAAGAGGCGAGUGGAAUUCCCGGUGUAGCGGUGAAAUGCGCAGAUAUCGGGAGGAACACCUAUGGCGAAGGCAGCUCGCUGGGACGUGACUGACGCUGAGACGCGAAAGCGUGGGGAGCAAACAGG